This 748-nucleotide ribosomal RNA is filed under the name uncultured Rhabdolaimus. Its description in RNAcentral is "bacterial SSU rRNA". It matches the Rfam family "Eukaryotic small subunit ribosomal RNA", at positions 1056 to 1828 of the family's 1831-position model. Lineage: Eukaryota; Metazoa; Nematoda; Enoplea; Enoplida; Rhabdolaimidae. The record is from RNAcentral.
GCGGGAGUUAUUCAAUGACUCUGCGGGCGGCUCCAGGGAAACCAAAGUUUUUGGGUUCCGGGGGAAGUAUGGUGGCAAAGCUGAAACUUAAAGGAAUUGACGGAAGGGCACCACCAGGAGUGGAGCCUGCGGCUUAAUUUGACUCAACGCGGGGAAACUCACCCGGCCCGGACACUGUAAGGAUUGACAGAUUGAUAGCUCUUUCUUGAUUCAGUGGAUGGUGGUGCAUGGCCGUUCUUAGUUGGUGGAGCGAUUUGUCUGGUUAAUUCCGAUAACGAACGAGACUCCGGCCUACUAACUAGAACGUAGAUUCUUUGUCUACGAGACUUCUUAGAGGGACUCGGGGCGUCUAGCCUCACGAAAUGGAGCGAUAACAGGUCUGUAAUGCCCUUAGAUGUCCGGGGCCGCACGCGCGCUACACUGAAGGAAGCAACAAGCUAUACCCUGGUUCGAAAGGACUGGGUAACCUUGUGAAACUCCUUCGUGAUUGGGAUAGGGACUUGCAAUUAUUUCCCUUGAACGAGGAAUUCCUAGUAAGUGUGGGUCAUCAUCUCGCGUUGAUUACGUCCCUGCCCUUUGCCCCCCCCGCCCGUCGCUACUACCGAUUGAAUGAAAUACUGAAAUUGACGGAUUGGUCUUUUGGUGGCUUCGCGGCUGCCAUUGUGACUGAGAAAUCACUUAAAGUGUUUCAUUUAGAGGAAGUAAAAGUCGUAACAAGGUUUCCGUAGGUGAACCUGCGGAAGGAUCA